AGUAAUUGGACUUGGUGAUAA
This is a non-coding RNA of Caenorhabditis elegans, 21 nucleotides long. NCBI's taxonomy places the organism in Eukaryota, Metazoa, Nematoda, Chromadorea, Rhabditida, Rhabditidae. The record is from Ensembl.